ACCCGCUGAACUUAAGCAUAUCAAUAAGCGGAGGAAAAGAAACCAACAGGGAUUGCCUCAGUAACGGCGAGUGAAGCGGCAUCAGCUCAAAUUUGAAAUCUGGCUCUUUCAGGGUCCGAGUUGUAAUUUGUAGAGAAGAUUUCGGGCACGACCUCCGGUUAAAUUUCUUGGAACAGAAUGUCAAAGAGGGUGAGAAUCCCGUCUUGACCGGACGGUACGACCUAUGUGAAACUUCUUCGACGAGUCGAGUUGUUUGGGAAUGCAGCUCUAAAUGGGUGGUAAAUUUCAUCUAAAGCUAAAUAUUGGCCAGAGACCGAUAGCGCACAAGUAGAGUGAUCGAAAGAUGAAAAGCACUUUGAAAAGAGAGUUAAACAGUAUGUGAAAUUGUUGAAAGGGAAGCGCUUGCAAUCAGACUUGAGCGCGUCGGUUCCCCUAGGCUUCUGCCUAAGUUACUCCGGCGUGUCCAGGCCAACAUCGGUUUGGGUGGUUGGUUAAAGACUUUGGGAAUGUAUCUUAUCCUUCGGGGCAAGACUUAUAGCCCAGGGUGUCAUGCGGCCUACCCAGACCGAGGAACGCGCUUCGGCUCGGAUGUUGGCGUAAUGGUUGUAAGCGACCCGUCUUGAAACACGG
Molecule: ribosomal RNA, 630 nt
Filed under: uncultured fungus
Lineage: Eukaryota; Fungi
Description: LSU rRNA
Rfam family: Eukaryotic large subunit ribosomal RNA
Source: RNAcentral